AUUGAACGCUGGCGGCAUGCCUAACACAUGCAAGUCGAACGGCAGCACAAUAUGUAGCAAUACAUAUGGGUGGCGAGUGGCGGACGGGUGCGUAAUGUGUAGGGAUCUGCCCUGAAGUGGGGGACAACCCGGGGAAACUCGGGCUAAUACCGCAUAAUACUCUACGGAGGAAAUCUGGCUACGCAAGUAGCUGGGGCUUUAGGAUGAACCUACAUCCGAUUAGCUAGUUGGUGAGGUAAUGGCUCACCAAGGCGAUGAUCGGUAGCUGGUCUGAGAGGAUGACCAGCCACACUGGGACUGAGACACGGCCCAGACUCCUACGGGAGGCAGCAGUGGGGAAUAUUGGACAAUGGGGGAAACCCUGAUCCAGCAAUGCCGCGUGGGUGAAGAGGGCCUUCGGGUUGUAAAGCCCUUUAGGCGGGGAAGAAGGUUUUAGGGUGAUAAGCCUUAAAAUUUGACGGUACCCGCAGAAUAAGCACCGGCUAACUCUGUGCCAGCCGCCGCAGUAA
RNAcentral lists this ribosomal RNA (509 nucleotides) under uncultured bacterium. Its description in RNAcentral is "partial 16S ribosomal RNA". It matches the Rfam family "Bacterial small subunit ribosomal RNA", at positions 30 to 523 of the family's 1533-position model. The record is from RNAcentral.